Molecule: ribosomal RNA, 264 nt
Filed under: uncultured bacterium
Lineage: Bacteria
Description: partial 16S ribosomal RNA
Rfam family: Bacterial small subunit ribosomal RNA
Source: RNAcentral
GUCCACGCCGUAAACGAUGGUCACUAACGAUGUGGGGAUUCGACCCUCUGCGUCGUAAAGCUAACGCGUUAAGUGACCCGCCUGGGGAGUACGAGCGCAAGCUUAAAACUCAAAGGAAUUGACGGGGACCCGCACAAGCAGUGGAUCAUGGGGUUUAAUUCGACGAUAAGCGAAGAACCUUACCGAGGCUUGACAUCCCAGGAAGGCCGCCGAAAGGUGGCUGUGCCUUCGGGAACCUGGUGACAGGUGCUGCAUGGCCGUCGU